This 205-nucleotide non-coding RNA is filed under the name Platyophrya macrostoma. Lineage: Eukaryota; Ciliophora; Colpodea; Cyrtolophosidida; Platyophryidae. The record is from RNAcentral.
GAAAUGAAGGAGCAUCCCAAUAGAAAAAAAAAAAAAAUAGUCGUCACUGAAUCGUAUGAACGCGAAUGAUUUUUGAUGAUUGUUUUUUUUUAAUUUGGUAUUGUGUUUCCCUACCUUCCCAUCCACAGAUGGCGUGAUGGCGUGUUCGUACUUUCAACUGGGAGGAGGAAAAAAAACAGAUAGCAACAACAAUAAUCAAGAAAAG